AAUGAACGCUGGCGGUAGGCCUAACACAUGCAAGUCGAACGAGUGGCGGACGGGUGAGGCAUACAUCUGAAUCUACUCUGUCGUGGGGGAUAACGUAGGGAAACUUACGCUAAUACCACAUACGAUUGAAUGAGCCGAUGUCGGAUUGGCUAGUUGGCGGGGUAAAGGCCCACAAAGGCGACGAGCCGUAGCUGGUCUGAGGGGAUGAUGCGCGACACUGGAACUGAGACACGGUCCAGACGCCUACGGGAGGCAGGAGUGGGGAAUAUGGGAUAAUGGGCGCAAGCCUGAUCCAGCCAUACCGCGUGGGGGAAGAAGGCCUUCGGGUUGUAAAGCCCUUUUGUUGGGAAAGCGUUACCCAAAGAAUAAGCACCGGCUAACUUCGUGCCAGCAGCCGCGGUAAUUC
This 406-nucleotide ribosomal RNA is filed under the name uncultured bacterium. RNAcentral's name for it is "partial 16S ribosomal RNA". It matches the Rfam family "Bacterial small subunit ribosomal RNA", at positions 29 to 526 of the family's 1533-position model. The record is from RNAcentral.